CAGAACCCUAGCACGUUUAUUCAACGGCAUGACUACCUGUGGACCCUGUGUCGGGGGGAUUUAUCAAAAAACAUUGUCUGUUUAUCUAUUCAAUUUGUUCUUUACCUUUCAAUAUUACUCGGUGUUGGUCGCGGGGAAAAUUAACAAAUACAAAUUAACGUUCCUUUGCGUAAAUUUAUACGCAUGCAUGGGCAUGUUCCGGGAAUUGGCUAACCUUACUAACGCAUGUAUUUUGUAUCGAAUGUAUUUUCGGGCGUCAUUGACGAAGCUCUUGAAUUCAAUUACUCGCGAAUUUUUGUCUUUCUGACGGCAUUCGUUCGUUUAUCUAUUUUAUUCGAAGCGCAUGAUUAUCCACAGUCAUCGAGGUGAAAAAUACAUCGGAAUAUUAUCGGAUAUCUUCAAGUUUUCACGGGUGUGAGAAGUAGCCGGUAAAAAUUUAAUGAUUUGAUAAACUUCGAUCAUAAACGAUAAUUAUAUUUUCUUAUUAUGGUUUUACGGUACGUCUCAACUUCACUUUAUAUAAUAGCUUUCUAAUCGAUUUUAAACUUCACUUUCACACGAGAUGUCUUAUCUUGAUGUAAUUCUGCGGUUACCAUUAUGUGUCGACGUAUCAAACCACCUUCUAUAAUAUUUACUGCGAUACUCGAUUUAAUUUUCGUAUCGAUAUCACGAUUAACGCCCGCGAUGCCUAUUGUUAGUAUAUGAUAUUGGGCAAACGCGUAAUUAUUACAACACGUUCAUCAUUCGUGUAUAAGGUCACAAAUUAACUUGGUACCUCGUUUAAUUCCAACCAAUAAAACGCGUCAUCUAACUUUUACCACGUUCUACGAAGGCGAACAGUCGAUUAGGCUACUGUGGGAUUGAACAAUCGUUAAGCUCAAGUUGCUCCUUAAUUAGCCUCAUGGACUUUCUACUUACAGUUUUACUCGCGUCAAUUCGUCAAGUUUUGAUUUCAAUGGAUAAUUAUUACCUCGAAUGGACGCGACGGUAUCACACAUCUUCGAUUGAACGCCGUCAAGAAAGUUAUAUACGAAAUAACGUUGCUCGAGAAAUAUGUAGAAUUUUUUCAACAAUCAUUCGGGCUAAUUUUUUUCGUCCGUAUAGUCAGUUGGCAAAGUAUUUGUGACCUGCGCGAUUUGUUGAAAAGAAUCGUAUGUAAGCUAGACUCUUAGUUUGAAAAUAAUUUUUAAGCGCUGGAAGCGAAGAUAUGUCUAGAUAUCUCUAGACUCUAGGACACGCGUCCACGAUUAUUCACAUGAUCUAGACGCGGCAGCUGUCCAGACACUACAAUGUCACAUCGAACGUACAAUAUGAACCUUUUAAAUUAACGUACUUGGCUGGCCGUAGGAACGAGCGAUUGUCUAUUUUUAAUUCUCUUCACAGACCCCUGAACAUAGUCCUUAUUAAAUUUCAAGUACGUCGUUCAUAAUUUCCAAAUGCACGUCGCAUCUCGCGCCGAAGGCGCUGAUCCUCGUUCGAAACGACAAAGUUUCGAGUCAACUCUUAUUUGGUUGGCGCGUGAGAUUAAACAAGUAUCAAAAAGCUCGAACGCGCGCCCUUGGGGCACACACCUAACAAGUCGUAGACGGUCUUCCUUCUUUGAUUGUACCGAAAAAAUUAGCAUACAAAAGAGAGGAGGAAUAACCCAACCUAUUGAAAGACCUCGCAUAACAAGAAGCCAUAAAAAGCCUGUAGCUGAACUUUGCUCCAAACCGUUAUGAAAUUAAAUUGGAACCGAUCAUCGGUAUUCUCCCGGUGCUAUUUCGGAAUCGUCGAAUACCUACUCACACAUCGUGAGCGCCAAUAAGAUCGCAGACAUUUAUUUUACUUUUUUUUUCUCAAAGAAAAGCCAAUAAAUCGGUAGAUUCCGCGAUUUUCACGUAACGAAAUGUCGUAACAGCUCCAACGUCUCCCGAGGAUAUAGUUCGACCGUUAAACCAUAAUGAGCGUGAUUUCACGGUUCGCUAUGACGUCACGGCCCGUUUAACCUUUCAAUAUCGUGCAUCGGAACCUGCAAUCGACGGUGAUUCAUUUCAGACAAGUGGUGCGGUUGGUUGUUGACGACGAACGUCGUUCAGGUUUAUGUACAUUUUUAUAGUACACGACGAUCAUGUAAUAACGAAAUGACGAAUCCACCCCGUGCGUAUUAGCAACAAUGUAUUCGAGUUCUGUCGCAUUUUCACCUCCAUAACGCCACGGAGUCCGUGCGUGCUAAUUGUUUUAAUUGCGGUACAUUAGGUGUGCCUAUCAUUUAGAGCCACAAACCAGUGAACGUCUUUUAUCCGAUUAUAGAUCAAACAAACUCUUCCCAAAAAAAUGAACCAACCAAUAGGUGAGGAAAAUGCUAAAAUUGAAGUCGCGAAUAAUAGGAUAGAUACGAGAUAACGAUAUUUCACGGCUGUACGAAGGUCACGUUUAUAGUAAGAUGAUCACGUGAUACGCACGUAAUUCUCGCUACUCGCGUUCAACAAAUCCUGUACGUAAUAUCUUUUGCGAGGCUUCUGCGGAGUUUAUUAUAUGUAUCUAACUAUACGUAUACGUCACGUAUAUGUCAGUUACCGUCCUUUACGUUUCAUGGUUUGUUGCGCUAGCUUCUAUUCGGAAUUACAAUCUUAUCUCUACGCUGAUUCCUGCGACAUCCUCGUAUUACGUGUUAUUAUAUUCGAUCGCUCGCGUUUCGCGUCGCCCAGACAUCAGCAGCUACCUCGGGUCUCUGAACUCAUACAACUGUCGAAGGUGGUGCAGCUUCUGCUUGACGCUGACAGAAAAACGGGGAAAAAAGCAAAAUGAUGGUCGAGUCGAAACAGAGCACCGUUUUCCUUCUGUGUACUCGAAGCCAAAUACAAGCCCACCUACGAUUGAAAAUAACGCGCAAUGAGAUAAGAACAUUCGGAAAGAAAAAGUACUCGAAAGAGCUUUAGAGGGAAGAAUACUCGAUGAGGAACGUGUGAAGUUAAAUUUUUCUACUCGGACGUCGUUCUCGCUGGAUUUUAACGAUCGCACCUCCAAAGUUGCAGAUGCUGACGCUUCGGCCCCUACACGAGCAUUAGAUCCGAUAACCGUGGUUGCGCUUCGUUCGCAACUUAUAAUGAGCACACGCGCAGUAAUCGAAUACGACGACGACAGAACGCGGAGACACGCGCCGUUUUCGAUUUACGAGGUCGGCACGAGGAGGUUACGUUGCACCGUCACGGUUGCACACGCAACGCUGAGCGAGCCAUUUCUGUCGUUUAAACGCAAGAUUAUUCAGCUAAAUUUUACGAGCUCUUGUCGGUAGUUCGUUUCACCGAUAACUUCGGAUCUCGUACAGGUCAUUACACGUUACGAAACUUCAUGAAUUCCUUUCAUUCUUCAGAUACGGGAAAAAAUCACGUCGAAAUAUUUCGACGUUUUUCAGAGUCGCCUAUACAUUGUAUAAAUAUGUGGUUUGAACGAUGUGUGUCAUCGUGCAUUUGAAUAAUUUAUUUCUUCGUCCAGAUUACCCUUUGAUCUCCACGGUAAUUGCCCGAAGUACAAUUAGUAUUUUAAAAGACCACCACGCAAAUUACCAUUGCAUGACCAUUGUUAUUCAAGUUCACAUAUAUGUUAUUACGGUGUUGUUAACUUGUCAGCCGUUAAUUCAACAUCGAUAUUUUAUUUCUUGUUUUUUUUUUUUGUCAUCGUUGUUGUUGUCUCUGUUAUUUUAUCGUUCGGUGCAUACAUAAAUAUAUCAUAAUUCAAUCAGAUGAUGAAAACUAUGUUCCAUAUCCACGAUAACGAUAAUGAUAAUAAUGUAUGUGUAAAUUUAGAACUGGACUACCUACAAACGAGUAAUUCCACGGAAAACCUGUUCGAAAACAACAACAAACGUUGAUUGAUGAGCCGGUGUGUGCGUAGAGCAAAUUUUGCAGGAAUUUCUAAACCACUGGGGUAAUUCGAUUAAUCGAUAGAUUCAUCGUUAUCAUGGGGGGGAAUGAAGAGUAAUGAUCGGCUUGAUUGCCACUUUCUUCGUACAUCCGCCGUUAUUGCCAUUUGAAGAUAUGAUAAUUACAUGUAUUGAUGCAAACUAUAAUUACGUAAAAUCGUUCACGUGUCAAUCGCGAGACCGUUUGAUAAGGAUAACCAGACUGCAUAAAAAUUUUCUCGUCAUUCUUGAAACUAUUCAGAAUUAAUGGAUAUUACGUGUCGAGAGACGGAGUUCGCAUGCUUUCGCCUUAUCGCGCAGCCGAUCACAACUGUUAUCGAUAUUCCAAUAAAUCGAACAUGAAUGGAAGUGAAAAGUCCCUACCAUCGUUGUGUCAUCUCUGCAGUCGUCAUGGAAGAUUUAAAGAACUAAUAAGUCUCGUGAUUCCGCCGUGAAAAUGAAUGAGUCACAUCUUUCCAAAAACCAAACAUCAACCGUGAUAAUUGUUUGAAAAAAUAGAGUUGAGCCUAAUUUUUUUACACGAUAUAAUCGACGGCGCUGCAAAUUUUUUGCCGGCGAGGUGAUUCUAUUUCGUUCAAUUGGAGAGGAUAUAUCGCGAUGCCCACGUCCCUUUAAACUAGGUGCGCUUGAUGAUACCGAAAGAAAUUCUCCGAAUCGUUUUCAAGGUAUCGUCAUUUUCCGCCUAGACAAUUGACUGGAAAGCACGUGGAAUUAAACGUAGUAUUUAUCCGUCUGUAACGUGUGAUUCACGGUAUACCAUUCGUGAUCUCACUCACUCACUUAAAGAGCAAAUUAUCACCUAAUUCCUAAUAACUACCUUUUGUAGAAUCACCUCUUCGGUGAAUUUCCUAUCUCUAAAUUUUUAUUUACAUGUUUACACCUAGCCUAUUAGCUUUCCGAGAUUAUUUAUUUAUUUUUUUCUUCUUCUUUUCGGUCAACUCAAACACGUGAGCCUAAUAAUUGAAAGUAUUCCUCUACGGAAAUAUUGGAUACGAAAUGUUUGUCUUUCGAUUUACCAAUUCUUCCAUAAUCUAAUCGCGGGUAGCGACAAAGAUCUUAAUUGUGAGCACGGAAGUAUGUAUGUACGUCGUGUAGAGGUAACAACGCAAAACGAGUUUUUUAAAUCUAUUUAAAAAUAUUCACAAAUAAACGCGAGGCUGGUAAUUGUCAGGUAUUGUUUGCAAACAAUGACUUCUAUUUAUAGAAUAAUUUAAUUAACUAACAAUCCGGAAUCAUCGAUUCAUUGAAAUUCUUAUUUUAGAGCAAUGAUAAUUAGCGAGAUUACCAGCCGCGACGUGAGUCAAGUUCGGCGUAGGUACGAUACACGGACUUCAUUCAAUUGCCGAACAGCUGUGAAUGUUCAAGUGACUCGGCGAAAUUUAUUUUAUCUCUCAAGAUUUUCACAAUAUUCCAUUAAAGCCGACUGCGGUUUACCGUUACAACUAAUGAAGAAUAACUCGCAAUGUGUUGAUGAAACUGGAACAUGGCUUCCGGUCAGAUUAACACAUUCGACAGAGACGCACUUUAUGUCACACUCGAAUCACGUGAACCGUAAGGAUUCCUUUUAUUUCGCGGAUUUAAACUCACUUUCACAACACGCUCAACACGUACAAACCUCAUUUAACGAUAAAUAUUGUGCAAUUAAAAAAAAAAUAAAAAAAUAUCAAAACUUUCGUUACUAGUAGGAUUAAAAAUGAGAAGCAAAGAAUCGUUCGAAGUUUCCAUUAAAGAAUUAUCCCCCGCCGUUUGUCUAUGCGAAUGAGAAUAAAGAAAUUUAUUUUAUCUCCGAUUUGACCGCGAGAGAAGAAUUGCGAAACGUUCAUUGCGUACGGCGAGCUCAUUCGAAUAUAAUAAACGUUUAUGUCACUGCAAUGCGAGAACUGUUCUUCAAAAGAUGAAGAUUGCAUAGCUUUGAUAUUUCCUGUUAUUGCGGCACAUUGCCAUUCGGGGAAAACAUCGAAUAUUUGCGCAUAGAGCGAAUUCUCGCAAGGGGUAUAACACCGUACGACAUAGGGCAACGUAUAUCGUGUUUAGCGUGAAAGGAAUAAAAAAGGUUAGAAAUUAGAUACGACAGUUAUCGGAGAUUGUAAUUUAAUCUCAUAUACGGCGCGAAUAAAUAUCAAAAUUCGCGCGUAUCUUCGUAGCGAUUAUCGUAGCGUUCUUUCCGCAGCUGGGAUUAUCGCGGGUCGAGAGUCCACUAUCAAAAUUGAUCAGUCGUCGGAUCUGAUGAUGAACAAAACUAACAAGAUCGAUGAUUUAUUUCGCCUAUCCGAUUUGUGCGGUGUACAUACCUAAAGCGUGCGAGCUAGUUUUUUAUUUCAUGUUUUUUUUUUUUUUUUUCUCGAACAUACUUUUGCUUCGUCGCUGAAAAUAAUAAUCAUUCGUUCACGAGUGCGCGCACAUCGAGAGCUGGACGAGAUGGAUUAUCUUUAGCAAGCAACAACCUUCGCCUAAAGUUGGCUUUCCCUAUAUGCGCGGCACGCAGAUAUACCAGAGUCAAAUGACCGUGAUUUUCUAGUUCCUCGUAGCGACGCCAAGUUACAAACUUACAUUAACGUUAACCGCGUAUCAAAUUAUGCAACGAUAUCGUAACUCGCUACGUUUCAUCGUUAAUUGAUAAAUCGCGAUAUCGCGGUUGCAUCAUUUUUCACGAUCCGGCGUCGCGAUGCACCUAACCGAGGGCGUCCCCGAGAACUUAUAGCGGUCAAACGUCUGGUCGUUCGUCUGUGACACUCCCUGCUCGCAAUCGUACCUAUUUUCGUCAAAUUUUUACGACGCAAUGUUGUAGACUAUCGUCGAUUCGAGUGCUCUCGCAAGGAUUGAUUUAGCUUUUAUUCGUCUGCCGCACCACGCGAGAUGCUCACCGACGAAUGCCCCGAUAAAAACGCAUUCCCAACAACAGCAACAACAACAACAACACGCGUAUACAUCGACACGGCUGUGUCCUUAAUUGAAAAUAAUGAUUCCAGUCAGUUGGUCAUCGGCCUACUCCAAGGUGCGACGAGUACCUUACAAUCGGUUUUUUUCAUUUCUGGCCAACUUUUCUGACGACAAAUAUAAAUAACUCGCGAUAAAAUCGGCGGGUAAAAGUCGAGGCCGAUGUGUAAAAAUAAGAGUUGAAAUUGGCAAAAGUGAAGCUAGUAUUAGACAUGACACUCGCGGCGGGAUAUGUUUCCCGACCUUUGAAACAAUUCCGCAUGUUAUAGAGGUAGGUCGCGAAAACGCAGUUGAUCAUUUUGUUAUUCGAACUCAUAUCCGAAUACAACAUCGCUCGGUUUACUGACCCCCGGAACUAUACGGGCGCUCCGUUCGCCGUUCAUUUUAUCACCUUGCACAUUUUUUUUAAAACCUAUCAAAUUUUUGGAGAACUUGCCGUCCUUAAAAAUCAGUGAUCCAUUUCGAAAUCAUUUGAAAUUCACGAACUGAGGUCCCGAUUGAGACCGAGUUGACAUCUCCGUAGCACAUCGAUUGAUUGGAAGAGGUUGCAAAAAGUCGAGGAAAAGGAAAAAAAGUAAAUAAAUUAAAAGAUUGAAUUUCACAAUGUGAGACUGAAAUAGCUUCGAUGUGGCUGUGGCCACGAGUCACCGGAGUGGCAAAUAGUAGACUAUUAUGAUAUCUGACGUAAAACUCGACGGGCGCAAGAAACGAUCUGAAUUAGAUCGAUACAAUGACAAUUGAAUGUUGAACCACUCAAAGCUUGACUCAAUGGAGACUAAAAUCUAUCCACGGACUGUAAUUUUCAAUUGUUUUAAUUUUAGAACGCGGCAAACUGCGAUACACUGAUCUAGUGUGUAUAUUGGAAGGACACAAACGGUACGAAAAGGAAAGGAAACGAGACGACGAGAUGAGUUGAAAGAAUUUUCGAAAUAUGAUUGUGGGAAAAGAUAACUUUAUUACUAGAAUGACAAUUUCUGCCGCAAGGGAUAAUCUCGUACAUCCGCCAUAUAAAUUCUUCAGCGAUACGUAUAGAUGUGUCAUUGCAAUGCCGCUACUCACACAACGUGUAUAUGUAUAUAUAAAUUAAUCAACUGGUGACAUCUGUGAAUAGGUAUUUACUUUAGCCAUCGUUGAUGCUAAUUAUUUUCGCGAAUCUUCGUAUCACAGCUGAAAGUCCGCGAUCUCGGAAGACUUUGAACCGCAUUUAAUCCUCCCCCAAGUAUUCAAUUAUUUUAAAUACGCAAAUAGAUCAGCCCCACUAUAUAAAUGAACCGUCGGGGUCAGUUUUAAAUAGAUACACAGAGAUAUCAAUACACAGGUGCAAUUGGAACGUAAGUAGUUGCACUACGCCUAAAAAGUUGUCGAAUAAAUAUUCGUUUUAGCAAAUCUGCAGCCCACGUAUAGGUGCAUAGGAGUGCCGAACAACGUCAUCCAAGGACGGGAUUUCUCUUCUAAUUAUAAUACGUGAACGUUGACGCGAUAGGAAAAAAAAUAUUAUCCGAUAUUUCCUCUUUAAUUGUAUAUUGGGAAUAACCAAAGCGGCCUCGCCGGCAGGGUUCUGACGUCUAUCCGUUUAACCGAGUACGAAAAUGCCGCGCGUUUGUAUCGAUUUAUAGAUAUUCAAAUUUUUCUUACACGGUUAACCUGAGGGGUGUGACGUAAUUAUGCCAGAUCCGUAAGACCGGUUACACUAUAAUACCGUCGGGGAUAUACAUGCAAAUUUUACGUGUAGGUAUACGGAGGCAGUGUUCAAGGAAAACCCGAAGAUCGCUCGAAAGUUCGCGUUGGUUAUAUCAAAUUAAAAGGCUCAAUGAGCGACCACGCUGCCUGGAUAUACUCGGAGAUUUCAGAUGCGAGAAAAAACUUAUCGAAACCGGAUACCCGCAUCGGCGAAACUGUGGUACUUUUAUGCUGUUCAUAUAUUUUCACCAAAGUCACGGGAUGUUAUUUUCGCGCUUGGCAAAGACGUAUGCGCGCGUGGCCCGCAGCGACCAAGAAACGCCUCGGAGGCGAGUGUUUCUAAUAAUACAGCGGACAGGAUGAGAGGGAAAUAAUAAAAAAAAAAACAAAAAAAAAAAAAAACAGAAACGUGAAAUGAAAGAGAAAAAAAAGAAAUUGCGCGGGGUGAAAACUGGAACUUGAGUCCGUGUAGCAGAAUUAUAACAACGUCUGGAGGUUCACCUGGCUAUUUACUACACCACAGGUAUAUAAUUUAUCGGUUACUUUUUUCAAGGUGUCACAUUUCCUUUUAACCACUUUAGCGCUGCAGAUCUGCGGUAAUUAACUCUCUUGGCCGUUUUUUUGUCUCGGGUCAUCGUAUCUCCUCCUAACGCCUCGCACAGGUUAUUUCAGUAGACGUAAUCCAGUAUUACGGUCAAUCCUCUGUUGAUGGCAUUCUAUAAAUAAACGGAAACUACUCCUGGUUCAAGGAGGACCAUGAACCCGCUCUGCAGUCUGCUGCCGGAGCCUCCGGCUACCUACUCUACGCCAUUUCUAAUAGACGCUUUAUAACGGCUUGCGGUUCCGAUUCGCAAGAUUUUUAAAUUAUACCCGUUCCAUAAUCCGGUGGUCGCAGGCAUCGUCCUGCAAUCAUUUUGUCAUACCGUACCUACUUCGGAGUCGUCGCUCCGCCGCUUCAUUUUUCAACUCCGGCCAGAAGAUUCUGAAUCAUCGUGCUUUUUAGCGCAGCGUUACUCGAGGGAUCGAAAAGCUUUUUCCAAUGAAAAAUUGUCGAAAUAAUAUCGAUUCGGUUCUGCCGAACCGCACGAAUAGCGUAACGGGUGGGUCAUCGUCCGAGCGAGUAAUCUUUGGAUCGAGAAUAAAUCAAUCGUUUGGCGUCCAUCUUCUUUUUGCAUAUUUAUAAUCAUCAACCGCCUACAGCCAUUGAUUAAACACACGCCCGGGAAUAGACUUUACUCGUGCGGAAUAUGAUGAAGCUGGAUUUAUGCGUGGACCGAUUUUAUUCGGUGGAUUGAUAUUCCCUGGGAAAUAAUAUCCGUCGAGGGAAUCGGCGAGUUUCGAUCCUUGAAAUCAGAUGAUCGGUGAGCGAUGCGAAGAGUCUUGCAAAUUCUUGUUCAUAAAUUUUCUGACUCACGUGUGUUCGGUACGCCGCAUAUUUCCCAUACUCAUAUAUAUGUAAUCAAUGUAACCUGACACCCGUUUUCCUUGAGCCUCUUACCCGAUUACACCAAAUUGUUUUAUACCUACAUUGUUGGAAACACAGCGACACGCGGUACAGAAAUUCAUGCGAUCGAAUACGAGCUUCAUAUUAUCUUGUCAAAACAUGACUAACGUACCUACGUAGGUGAUACACGUCGACUAGGAAUUCCGCUUAUCGAGCGCAAUUUUCGUCGAGCGGAUUCGAGUCAAGUUUUCACAUCUUGCGUGGAACAUCGCGGUCGGGAGCACCGAGAAUAUUCAAACGAAUUUUCGACGCCAGUCGCUGACGCAUUUGGACGUUCCAACGUUUAUACGGUCGAUGACGCGUAGAGCGGUAGUCCCAUUUCGCUGUACCUCUACAAUCAAUCUGAUUAUCAAACGAAACGAUUUUCACCUAACAAUGAGUCUGGAGCGCGACAUCCUCACUUCACGACCAAAUAAUUCAAUAGAUCAGGCGGAAUCGCUUCGAAGCCUUUCAAACGAUGUAUACAUUUCGUGGCGUUAUAUAUGUGUACGCGGUGCGAAUCGCAUAUGUAUAUGUAUAACCAGAUUGUAAUAGAAGUGCACAUGGGAGGAGUAUGAAGCGAAUUAAAUUGAUCGCAUAUGGAACAAUGGACACGAUAAAUUACAUUGAUCAUGAACCGGUACAAAAAUAGUAACGUUAUUAGAGUUCAUUAUAUGAUGAAAUAACUUGAUGAAGUAACAGAUUAUGCAACGCACACAUUCGUAUAACGUGGACGCUUACUUCGUUACGAGGAAAAUCGUAUCUACAUUGAAUUUUUCCUCAUGGGACGUUUGGCCUUACGACCAGAGGCAAGGCCACGUUCUCUCGAUGCACGAUGUUCGACAUUCACAUAUGUAUACCUAUGCCUUCCUGUGUAAUUUUUCAAAUUACCAAUUCUUCCUAGAGUUAUAAUUGAAUUUUUACAUACUCCGCGCUGAUGAUUAUUUUAUGGACUCACAAAUGAACGAGAAUAACGUAUUAUUCGGUAAGGUUUUUUCAUUACAUCCAACAGUACAUAGAUGGCUGUAACGAACGCGUGUCAUAAUGCGAAUAUAAUCGGUUCACCUACAUAUGAUUGAUAGAUGCAUUCCUCGUAAUGGCUUUGGCGUAAUGAAAAUAUUUUCCUACCCAUGACCCUGACUAAUUUCUUCACCCGUAAUACAUAACGUAGUAAUUAGACCGUGUUAAAAAAAAAAGGUUUAUUUUUUUUUUCUCUUUCGAAUGAACGUGUCUUGAAAGUUUCUUUGCCGCAAAAAACAAAUCGUCCCUCGAUGAUAUCUCAAAAAUUGAGCUGAAACAAAAAAAAUUCCCUUGACACGGUCUAGUAUACUAAUCCUUCAAUCCUUAUACGCACGAUAUUGAAAUUGUAUGGAAGCAUUUUCUCUUGACGUAUACGGAGAUAACGAUCACGCGCUAUUGUUGACUUAAUUUCAUUUUUAUUUAUUAGCGUCGUCUCGGCUCGUCAAACAAUUUUCUACGGAGUCUUCGCACGAAUUGUUCGUUUGUUUUGUUUUUUUUUUCCAUUUUUCACGAAUGACGAGCUGAGCGCCGUCACCUUUGGUUUUACCUCGAAAAACUCGGAACACUCCGAACGCUCCAACGGCGGACAUAUCGACGUGGCAAUUUACGGGUUUCUUCGAAUACCCGGAAACGCUGGUACGGUGUGACAUACGUGCAAAGAUUUUCUUUCCUCUACGUAAUUGUUAUGAUAAUCUUUUCGAGAUAUCUCCGCCGAGUGGUAAAACUUACGUACUCGGAAGCACCAAAAUGACGAAAUGUCGAAUACGAAACCCUGAGUUAUAUUUAAAGCUCUAAUGCUGGGCUAGAUAAAGACUCACAAAGGCAGGAAGAAAACCCGAGAGUUUCGUAACGAGCGCCAUUGGAUGACCACGUGAUCUUGGUCUGGGCGGCUGUCCUCGAGGAAGAUGGAGCGAAUCGUUAAAACGAUGGAGAAACUGAAAUACGACUACGUCCCUACUAUACGCCAUACUGGUACGGUACACGACACAACUAAUGGAAACAUGGCAACGAGAAAAGAACGACCGAAACAAGGGAGAAGAAGCCGUUCCUCCGCUGCUGCCGCUGCGUUGCUGCAGAAGUAGGGUGCGGUUAAGACUUCGAAUAAUAAAGACUCGCAUCUGAAAUUCCUCUCGACAAUUUUCGGUGGGACAUCCGGACGAAGCUCUAUAAUGAAAAGAGGACAUUUUGAAAGAUUCACACGAGUCUGUAGCCGCAGUCCUGAGACAAUCUUACAUUAUUUUCCUCCGUAAUAACGAAUUUUCUUUUGCGGUUGACCGGGAAUUUCGAAGGUCAUCCGGACGCAUGGGACGUUGGCAGCGGAGUUUCACGUGAUCACGAACUAGAUUGGUAUGAUCUUAUGCGGGAAGAAUCGUUGCGACCAACAUUCACCCGGACCAGUAAAGACUGACAAUGUGUUACCCACGAUUGAUUCGACUUACACAAUGCUUGUCCGGGACUGUAUAGUAAUACGUUAUUCUCGAAUAGAUACAAAUCCGGCUCUACCAGCGGCCAACUUCACCGCUGAAUAGUAUUACCAGUAUUACAUUCAUCGAGUGCAUAGCCAUGAAACGAACCGCGAAUCGCACAUGGCUGCGACAUCGUUGUUUUCAAUAAUAUUACAAAAUCAAUUCGUGACGUUGCUUAUCUCAAUUUCAACGAAGCCGGAAUCCCGAAUGAAGUCAAAGUUGUAUUAAUGCAUAGUUAAUCGCGGAAUGAUGAUGGUCCAUUUUUCGAUCAUUAGUAAAAAAGAUCCCCAGACUCGCGAAGGUCUCGGCAAUUAUUAUACAAUUAUCCGAAAACGAUAAAUCACGUUGUUCGUCAGUCGGACGGAAUUGUAGAGCGCACGAGUAAUUCAUAAAUUGGACAAAAAAUGAAGCGUGAACCGUCGAUGGAAAUUUACGAUGAAUUACGAGAAAUCACGAUGGCGUGCGAGGGCUUCGUGCGAGCUGAAAAAUUCAAAAACAUGCUCUUUCAGGCUAGUCGGAGGACCCCGCAACUGAGUAAACAACUCGAGGAUAAUCUAGACCUGAUCGAUCUUCAGUUUACGGAGAAUGGCGAGGGACGGGGUUGAGUCUCUUCGUUUCCAAGUCUACGCAAGUUACACCCGGACGACCGCUGGAUCGAAACCACUCAGGCCAAGCCAUGCCAACAACCUCUGUUCUCUGUUUCACCUGUUUUACGACAAUCGACGAUUUCGUACGACUUCACCCGAACCCUCCGAUUCAAACGUUAUGGCGCUUCGAUUCCGCUUGGAUUAGUCGGAUUUCACCGACCAUCCUAUAGCUCGGGGGACUCGGCUGGUGAAAUAUCAAAUUCAUGACCAUGCGAUCGAGAUUUUGUAAGAUUAUUCUCAAACCCGAAACACGGAACCCGUCGAGAAUAUCCAGGUACAGUCGAACGUUGAGUCGACGUUAUAUUUCAGAGGACGGCGCGUCAUGGGGUUUGCGAACGAACGGUGCAGGUCUGAGAAAAAAUUUAAGGGCUGUAAGGGCGGCCAUUGUGGGCAAACAUAUCCCUCGUCGUGCAGUUGCAGCUCGGUAAUACAUCAGGGCUAGGAAAUGGGCUUGGGUGUUGCUAAGCAACGACGUAGGGUGAAGGGCCGACGAAGAAGCCAGGCCCGUAUAUCCGAUAUUGUUUCGUCAAUUUUUCAAUCCGACUUUGCUUCCAGUGAAAUUACUGCUCUACGAAUUACAUCCGAAUCGCUACGCUCGACUCAAUUCGGAUCCGUCCCACAAUCCCUGCACAGAGUUUCAUUUAAUUGCUGUCGGAUUUCUUCAGUCAAAUUCGUUGUGAUUUGCCAAUCAGCUGAAUCAUACCGACUUUCUUUCGGUUACUCGUUCGGAACAAUCUAUCUCUUUACCGAUGACCUCGGGUGAAACUGAUCGGGUAUUACGAUUGGAUCCCCUUCAAUCAUAACUUGACCGAAUCGAACAUCGUCGAGAUGAGAAAAUGGAGAUAAUUGGUAACGAUUAAGGCGCAGGGGUGAAUCAAAACUGUCAGACGGUCCUGAGCGGUUCGUUCUCGGUUGAACUCUCUCCCCAGGGCGAUGUCUUCUGGUUGAAACGAGGGUACGACGCCCCGACAUCCCGACCCAUGACGCCUGCCACAAGCUGCACCGAAAAGGAUCGAGUCCAGAAUAGCGACGGCGUGCUGUGCGGAGUGGAUUUUAUAUUAUAUGUAUACACGUAUACAUAUGGAUGCGCCGAUAUGGUAUACAUACAAACUUGUAUUUUCAAGCAGAUAGACGUGCGGGCCGUCGGUAAGAGUCUGUUCGUGAGUAAUUAUCGUUAUCGGUCAACCUUUUAUCGCACGUGGAGUUAAUCGUCGUGUGAAUAUGCCGUUCCUGCGGGGAUGAAUACUCCAAUUAUGCUAAUCGUAAGGACUCGCGGGGGCUUGUAUUGUCCAUUUUAAUUACGGUCGAACCUUUCACGUUUCAAUUAUCAGAUACCUCUAGCGCGUGGUAUAAAUUAAUGCGUAUAUAUUCGUAAACCUCGAAGAGACAAGAUUAUACACUCAAAGUUACAAUAGACGCGUUUUCGCAAUUUCGGAAUACACUGCUCCGAAAAAAGCAUAUAAUAUAAGGCUAGCGUAAUCUGAACAUGCAAAUAAAGUGUUUCUUUAAUACCA
Molecule: long non-coding RNA, 14651 nt
Organism: Athalia rosae (coleseed sawfly)
Lineage: Eukaryota; Metazoa; Arthropoda; Insecta; Hymenoptera; Athaliidae
Exons: 2
Source: RefSeq, a predicted model, not a curated record